Molecule: ribosomal RNA, 412 nt
Filed under: uncultured Rhizophagus
Lineage: Eukaryota; Fungi; Glomeromycota; Glomeromycetes; Glomerales; Glomeraceae
Description: partial 28S ribosomal RNA
Source: RNAcentral
GAGAGUUAAACAGUACGUGAAAUUGUUGAAAGGGAAACGAUUGAAGCCAGUCGUACCUUCGGGUAAUCAGCCUUUCGGGUGCGAUUCUGUGGGGUGUGAGGAGUUAAACGCCUUCACGUUUUGCAUAUUCGUGCUCUUGGGUGUACUUGCCCGUGUGGUUGGUUAACAUCAAUUUUGGACGCCAUAAAAUGGCUGGAGGAAUGUAGCUUCGAUCUCGUAUUGAAGUGUUAUAGCCUUCGGUAGAUGUGGUUUUCGAGAUUGAGGAUUGCAACGGAUACCCUUCGGGGCUACCUAUCUGAUCUCUGAUCGUUGCUCUGGUGCCGAAAGCUUGCUUACGGUUAUCAAAGUCGAUGGUCAAUAUGUUAGAAUGGGUUAAAUUCGUUAAGGAUGUUGACGUAAUGGCUUUAAACGA